GUCCAGACUCCUACGGGAGGCAGCAGUGGGGGAUAUUGCACAAUGGGGGGAACCCUGAUGCAGCGACGCCGCGUGGGUGAAGGAGUGCUUCGGCAUGUAAAGCCCUAUCGGCAGGGAAGAAGCAAGACGGUACCUGACUAAGAAGCCCCGGCUAACUACGUGCCAGCAGCCGCGGUAAUACGUAGGGGGCGGGCGUUAUCCGGAUUCACUGGGUGUAAAGGGAGCGUAGACGGCCAUGCAAGCCAGGGGUGAAAGCCCGGGGCCCAACUCCGGGACUGCCCUUGGAACUGCAUGGCUGGAGUGCGGGAGGGGCAGGCGGAAUUCCUGGUGUAGCGGUGAAAUGCGUAGAUAUCAGGAGGAACACCGGCGGCGAAGGCGGCCUGCUGGACCGAAACUGACGUUGAGGCUCGAAAGCGUGGGGAGCAAACAGGAUUAGAUACCCGGGUAGC
This 449-nucleotide ribosomal RNA is filed under the name uncultured bacterium. Its description in RNAcentral is "bacterial SSU rRNA". It matches the Rfam family "Bacterial small subunit ribosomal RNA", at positions 329 to 794 of the family's 1533-position model. The record is from RNAcentral.